Molecule: ribosomal RNA, 484 nt
Filed under: uncultured bacterium
Lineage: Bacteria
Description: partial 16S ribosomal RNA
Rfam family: Bacterial small subunit ribosomal RNA
Source: RNAcentral
AUUGAACGCUGGCGGCAGGCCUAACACAUGCAAGUCGAGCGGAUGAAGGGAGCUUGCUCCUGGAUUCAGCGGCGGACGGGCGAGUAAUGCCUAGGAAUCUGCCUGUUAGUGGGGGAUAACGUCCGGAAACGGGCGCUAAUACCGCAUACGUCCUGAGGGAGAAAGUGGGGGAUCUUCGGACCUCACGCUAUCAGAUGAGCCUAGGUCGGAUUAGCUAGUUGGUGGGGUAAAGGCCUACCAAGGCGACGAUCCGUAACUGGUCUGAGAGGAUGAUCAGUCACACUGGAACUGAGACACGGUCCAGACUCCUACGGGAGGCAGCAGUGGGGAAUAUUGGACAAUGGGCGAAAGCCUGAUCCAGCCAUGCCGCGUGUGUGAAGAAGGUCUUCGGAUUGUAAAGCACUUUAAGUUGGGAGGAAGGGCAGUAAGUUAAUACCUUGCUGUUUUGACGUUACCAACAGAAUAAGCACCGGCUAACUUCGUG